UGCCUAUCGAACCCAGACAGGCACUUUUGACCAAGCCAUUGCAGAACUGCUUAUUGCAGGAUUCUCAGGCCAACUUAAAGAAUGGUGGGACUAUUAUCUCACUCCCCAAUAAAAGCUAGAAAUUUUAAAGUCAGUAGAGAUUGAUGAAGAUCAAGAAUCAAUCCUUGAUAAGAAUGGCAUACCAAUUCAGAAUGUUGUUGCACUUACUCUCCAUUUUUUAUGGAGAUCCAUCACACCUUAAAUACAAAAAUGCUAAGCUUCUCUCUAAUCUCAGGUAUAAGAAGUUUAGAGAUUUUAAAUGGUAUAAAGACACCUUCCAUACGAAGGUUAUGCUUCGUGAAGAUUCCAACUAACCUUUUUGGAAAGAAAAGUUUCUUGCCACUCUCCCUCCUCUCCUUAGAGAAAUGGUUAGGAAUAAAAUUAAGGAGCACUACAAUGAGCAAAUUCCUUAUGAUCAACUAAUUUAUGGCGAACUCAUCAUCUAUACUAAAAAAUAAGGCUCGAAGAUUUGUCAAAAUCUUAAGCUUCAAAAACAGUUGAUAUUAGAAAUGCACAAAACUAGGAAAGAACUUGGAUACUUUUGCCAAUAGUUUGAUAUCUCUUACCUAAAGCCAUCCUCUUCAAACUUUAAACCUUGUUAAGAUUGCCAACCCAAGAGAUAUCGAAAACACCAAAAACACUACUCCAAAGACAAAUCUUCUCACCAACCAAAAAAACCUUACAAGAAGAAAGCCUAUACCUGAACAUACCGAAGAUUAGGGGUGAGCAUUCGGUUCGAA
RNAcentral lists this unclassified non-coding RNA (779 nucleotides) under Hevea brasiliensis (rubber tree). The record is from RNAcentral. Lineage: Eukaryota; Viridiplantae; Streptophyta; Magnoliopsida; Malpighiales; Euphorbiaceae.